GUCUUUUCUAAUAAUACAGGCCUGUGGAACACAAAGGGAAAAUGUGUUGGCGGAAUACUGACUGGUUGCUAUAGGUUGCAUUUCUGUAAAUAUUGACAAUGCAAUUUCUCAUAGGAACUCCUUUUACGGCUAAAACUGUACCACUUUUACUAUGAAGUUUUGAAAAAAAUCUUAUCCUAGAAUUGAAAGUUCAUUUGCACCACAAUUUUUUUUCAAAGGUCAAAAUAUAGGGCUGUGCGGCAUAUUUUCAACGUUUAUAUGCCCUGAACUUCUCAGAGUUUAAACUUACACUAAUUUUCUUAACUACCCC
Molecule: long non-coding RNA, 310 nt
Filed under: Mytilus galloprovincialis (Mediterranean mussel)
Lineage: Eukaryota; Metazoa; Mollusca; Bivalvia; Mytilida; Mytilidae
Source: RNAcentral